GUGUGUGUGUGUGUGUGUGUGUGUGUGUGUGUGCGCACGUGCACGCACAUGCACACACGCACUC
This 64-nucleotide microRNA precursor is filed under the name Ovis aries (sheep). RNAcentral's name for it is "miRNA (ENSOARG00000023976.1)". Lineage: Eukaryota; Metazoa; Chordata; Mammalia; Artiodactyla; Bovidae. The record is from RNAcentral.